UGAGGAGUCUUGCGCAACGGGGGAAACCCUGACGCAGCAACGCCGCGUGAGUGAGGAAGGCCUUCGGGUCGUAAAGCUCUGUCAGAUGGGAAGAAAUGGGUGGGGGCUAAUAUCGUCCACCCUUGACGGUACCAUCAGAGGAAGCACCGGCUAACUCCGUGCCAGCAGCCGCGGUAAUACGGGGGGUGCAAGCGUUGUUCGGAAUCAUUGGGCGUAAAGCGCGCGCAGGCGGCUUGGUAAGUCAGAUGUGAAAUCCCUGGGCUUAACCCAGGAAGUGCAUUUGAUACUGCCUCGCUAGAGUACGGGAGAGGAAAGUGGAAUUCCUGGUGUAGAGGUGAAAUUCGUAGAUAUCAGGAGGAACACCGGUGGCGAAGGCGACUUUCUGGCCCGAUACUGACGCUCAGGCGCGAAAGCGUGGGGAGCAAACAG
This 429-nucleotide ribosomal RNA is filed under the name uncultured bacterium. RNAcentral's name for it is "bacterial SSU rRNA". It matches the Rfam family "Bacterial small subunit ribosomal RNA", at positions 355 to 775 of the family's 1533-position model. The record is from RNAcentral.